GUCUACAGCCGUGCCACCCUGAACAAGCCUGACGUUUGAUCUCAGAAGCUAAACAGCUAAGCCUGGUUAGUACUUGGGUGGGAAACCACCUAGGAAGACCAGGUGCUAUAGGCA
This 114-nucleotide ribosomal RNA is filed under the name Pteropus alecto (black flying fox). Lineage: Eukaryota; Metazoa; Chordata; Mammalia; Chiroptera; Pteropodidae. The record is from RNAcentral.